CUCAGAUGCAGAGCACCAAUCAACCCUAAUGAGGUAACAAGGUGUGAGGGCAGGAGGGACAUCAAUGCCUGAGGCAACAGCUUUGAAACAAAUGUCUUUGGUUCCUGCACUGUCUGGGUGAAGGUGGGAUGUUGUGCAUAUGAUCUCAGCCCGGUUUUUGCAGAUGAGUGCCAUUUGGAGCUCAUCCAGAAAUGUGACUCCAAAUUCACACCUCUUGGGCAGUAAAUCAGGCCUUGGGAAGUCUCCUACCCAUGCUAAGAAACCAUUCAGAAGCAUAGCUGUCUAAACAAACAGGGUAAGUAGAAUUUAUUAUUUUU
This is a long non-coding RNA of Catharus ustulatus (Swainson's thrush), 317 nucleotides long. RefSeq lists it as uncharacterized. The record is from RefSeq and is a predicted model, not a curated record. The transcript has 3 exons. NCBI's taxonomy places the organism in Eukaryota, Metazoa, Chordata, Aves, Passeriformes, Turdidae.